Molecule: long non-coding RNA, 2843 nt
Filed under: Jatropha curcas
Lineage: Eukaryota; Viridiplantae; Streptophyta; Magnoliopsida; Malpighiales; Euphorbiaceae
Description: long non-coding RNA (JCUR_LNC003139)
Source: RNAcentral
UUUUAUUCUCUUUAUCAUGAUAAAAGCUCAGGUAGCACAACCAAAUGGAGGUCAAUAAAACGGACUCAAGCAGUCCACCAGUUCCAGUUUGAACUUAAACAAUCCAUCAAAUCGGACAUAACUAAUUCUCCAGUUCGGACUUAAGCGGUCGAUAAACAAUCCAACAGUUCCGACAUGAACAAUUCCCCAAUUCGACCUUAAGCAGUCCAUAAACAUUCCAUUAGAUCAGACAUAACCAAUUUUCCAGUUCGACCAUAAGCUGUCCAUAAACAGUCCAUCAGUUCAGACAUAACCAAUUCUCCAAUUCGGACUUAAGCAAUCUAUAAACAGUCCUUCAAUUCGAACAUAACCAAUUCUCCAAUUUCGCUUUAAGCGAUCCAUAAAGAGUUCAUCAAUUCGUAUAUAACCAAUUCUCCAAUUCGGACUUAAGCGAUCCAUAAAUAGUCCAUCAGAUCAAAUAUAACCGAUUCUCCAAUUCGGCCUUAAGCGGUCCAUAAACAAUCCAUCAAUUCGAACAUAAACAGUCCAUCAACUCGAACUUAAGCAGUCCACACGUUCGAGCCUAAGCAGCUCACCUAGUUCGGACUUAAGCAAUCCACUCCAAUUUGAACAGACUUAAGCAGUCCACGCCAAUUUAAAUGGACUUAAGCAAUCCAUCUAUUCGAGCUUGAGCAACUCACUCAUAUGGACUUCAGCAGUCCAUCUAUUCGAGCUUAAGUAGCUUGCCUAUUCGAACUUAGGCAGUCCACCCAUUCGAGCUUAACCUCAAUAAAUUCGAACUUAAAGCAGUUCACACCGAGCUGAAGCAACUCAACACUUAAAUGGACUCGAUCCACCUAUUCGGACUUAAAGCAGUCCAUUCAUUACAGUUUAAGUAAUUCAGCUACAACACUCUACCAGCUAUAACAUUUGUUAGACAUAAAUAACUAACUCCUUUUGGGGGACUACUAAUAAUAUAUAAUAAUAAAAUAUAUCAAAUAAUAAUAUAUAAAUAUAUAUUGAAUAAUAUUAGACUUCCAAAUAAAUUCUAACUAACAGAUAAUGUAAGAUUCUCACAAUCCUUAUCCUAGUAGAAUCUAUCUUGAACCCAAUAUAUAUAUAUCCCAAAUUUGCUCCAAAUAGGGACGAAUUCUCAAAUACUCUCAAUUCUCAAUUCAGAUGGUUAACACUAGCAACCCAUUUUAAUCGUCAAUCCAUUAUACAUACAUAUAUAUACAUCAACCAACACAAAAUCUUGAAAGUAUACUCACUUAUAUAUAUGUGACCUUCUAAUACAACAUAAAAACUAAAAUAAUCGUCGCCAACUUGCAGAAAUCGAAGUUUUCUAUAUUAACUCAUGGAUUAAAUAUUAGCUAACUAAUUCCUAUCAAAAAUCAAAUUUACAACUUCAAUAUACCGUACCAAGCUACAAUUUACAAAAAUAAUUUGAAAUAAUUACUGCCAUAUAAAAAAGUAUAAGUUUCAUGAUUAAAUUUUCAUACUUUACGCACUAGCUAACUCACUACCCUACAAGAACUUAGUUUGCAACCUCUCGCACUCAUCCCAAAUACGAUAAUUCAAGAAACCAACUAAUUUAAUUGCUGCUAGCUCAAGGAAUUCAAAGUUUUCUACUUUAUACCCAUAAUAUAUCCACUGGUUUUGCACAUUUCUUAAUAAAAUUCGGUCAUAGUUCAUUUUAAAGAGUAAAAUUUGAAGUUCCUAACUAUAUACACUAACAGCAGUUAAUUAAGGAUUUAAAUUCUAACCAAAAUAAUUUAUGCGACAAAUCAUAUACCCUAGAUCAAAGAAUUCAUGAUUUAAAUCUAAAAGAGUUGAAAUAUGGCUUACUCAGUCGCGAAAAAUGACAGAAAAAUCGAAUAUAUCCGGUUAAAAUGACCAGCAGCAGCUCCGAUGCUCAAAAUCGAUUCUGUCGAAGUAAGCUUGGCUGGAAUGGAUGAAGGUUAUGGCCAGCGAAGCUACUAGAGGCGGUGGAAGUUUGUAACUGGCCAGUUCCUUGGCUCGUCUGGCCGAAGACGCCAAAAGAAUAGAGAGAGAGGGCUGUCCCAAUCGACAAAAGCCCCCACGGUCUCUCUAGUUGUCGCGCUAAGACUGGCAAGCUGGAAAUAAGGGAUAAAGGUGACUGGAGACGCUGCUAAGGAGAGGAAGGGAUCACGUCCGCCAGCUGAGGGUUAGUGUCGUCAGAAAGUGAAAGGAAAUACAAGAAUCGCGUUGUCCGGAUCGAAAACAAAUCGCAGUGUCCGGUGAUAGCCGCAGCAACCAGAAACUAUGGCGGAGGAGUGAGUGGCAGAGAACAAUGGCAAGGAGAAGCUCCGAUCAGCUCUACUCGAGUUCAGGUGGCCGGAAAACGAAGGAGAGGCUGAAGACUCGUUAUCCCGAUCAGAACGGAACCGCAGCUUCCUGUGAUUACUAUGCCAACCGGGGAGAACAGCGAGGAGAGAGAAGGCUGCGUCAAGGCGGCAGGGAGAAGCUCUAGCCGGCGUGGUGACUGGAAAAAUGAAAGGGGAUAGAGGAGGGGGCUGUCGGCGCUAAUGAGAGGGAGAGGAAAAUUGUAUUAGGACAAAAUGGGUAUUUUUCGUAACCUAGGGUUUCUAGAUGGUUCUAGUAUCGUUUGGGUUUGAUUUGGAUCCGGUUUGAUCCAAAUCAGGGGUUUUACUUGGUUUUCAAUUGAUUUAGUGAUUUCCAAUUGGUUUAAUUUAGUUUUUAGGUUUGGUUUAACUGUAUAAAAUAUAUUUGCAUUUAAUUUUGUUAAAUAAAUUCAUAGGAUGUUAAUUUAUUUAAUUUUAAAUAUAAUAAUAUUCUAUAAUGCUAUUGGUUUAGAAUUUAUAAUUAAAUUUUUAAAUGAA